GUCUAUGGCCACGCCACCCUGAACAAGCCCGAUGUCUGAUCUCAGAAGCUAAGCAAGGUCGGGUCUGGUUAGUACUUUGAUGUGAGACCACCUAGAAAGACCAGGUGCUGUAGGCA
This 116-nucleotide ribosomal RNA is filed under the name Pteropus alecto (black flying fox). The record is from RNAcentral. Lineage: Eukaryota; Metazoa; Chordata; Mammalia; Chiroptera; Pteropodidae.